Molecule: ribosomal RNA, 253 nt
Filed under: uncultured bacterium
Lineage: Bacteria
Description: partial 16S ribosomal RNA
Rfam family: Bacterial small subunit ribosomal RNA
Source: RNAcentral
UACAGAGGGUGCGAGCGUUGUUCGGAAUUAUUGGGCGUAAAGGGCGCGUAGGCGGUGCGGUAAGUCACCUGUGAAAUCUCCUGGCUCAACUGGGAGCUUGCAGGCGAAACUGCCGUGCUGGAGUGUGGGAGAGGUGCGUGGAAUUCCCGGUGUAGAGGUGAAAUUCGUAGAUAUCGGGAGGAACACCAGUGGCGAAGGCGGAGACCUGGGCCAAUACUGACGCUGAGGUGCGGAAGCGUGGGGAGCAAACAGG